RNAcentral lists this transfer RNA (73 nucleotides) under Acidobacteriota bacterium. RNAcentral describes it as "Acidobacteria bacterium (mine drainage metagenome) tRNA-Lys". It matches the Rfam family "tRNA". From Rfam's summary of the family: Transfer RNA (tRNA) molecules are approximately 80 nucleotides in length. Their secondary structure includes four short double-helical elements and three loops (D, anti-codon, and T loops). The record is from RNAcentral. RNAcentral also lists the same sequence under 2 other names. Lineage: Bacteria; Pseudomonadati; Acidobacteriota.
GCCCCUUUAGCUCAGUUGGUAGAGCAGCGGACUUUUAAUCCGUUGGUCCAGGGUUCGAGCCCCUGAGGGGGCA